Molecule: ribosomal RNA, 450 nt
Filed under: Beauveria bassiana
Lineage: Eukaryota; Fungi; Ascomycota; Sordariomycetes; Hypocreales; Cordycipitaceae
Description: SSU rRNA
Rfam family: Eukaryotic small subunit ribosomal RNA
Source: RNAcentral
UUAUAUAAGUUAUCGUUUAUUUGAUAGUACCUUACUACUUGGAUAACCGUGGUAAUUCUAGAGCUAAUACAUGCUGAAAAUCCCGACUUCGGAAGGGAGGUAUUUAUUAGAUUAAAAACCAAUGCCCUCUGGGCUCCUUGGUGAUUCAUAAUAACUUUUCGAAUCGCACGGCCUUGCGCCGGCGAUGGUUCAUUCAAAUUUCUUCCCUAUCAACUUUCGAUGUUUGGGUAUUGGCCAAACAUGGUCGCAACGGGUAACGGAGGGUUAGGGCUCGACCCCGGAGAAGGAGCCUGAGAAACGGCUACUACAUCCAAGGAAGGCAGCAGGCGCGCAAAUUACCCAAUCCCGAUUCGGGGAGGUAGUGACAAUAAAUACUGAUACAGGGCUCUUUUGGGUCUUGUAAUUGGAAUGAGUACAAUUUAAAUCUCUUAACGAGGAACAAUUGGAGGG